GAUGAACGCUGGCGGCGUGCCUAAUACAUGCAAGUCGAGCGAAGAGACGAGGAGCUUGCUCCUCUGACGUUAGCGGCGUACGUGGCAGUAACACGUGGUGAACCUACCUAUAAGACUGGGAUAACUACGGGAAACUGGUGCUAAUAAUGGAUAAUAUAUUGAACCGCAGGUUUCAAUAGUGAAAGACGGUUUUGCUGUCGCUUACAGAUGGAUCCGCGCCGCAUUAGCUAGUUGGUAAGGUAACGGCUUACCAAGACAACGAUUCGUAGCCGACCUGAGAGAGUGAUCGGCCACACUAGAACUGGAACACGGUCAAGAGUCCUACGGGAGGCAGCAGUAGCGAAUCGUCCGCAAUGGGCGAGAGCCUGACGCAGCAACGCCGCGUGUGUGAUAAAGGUCUUCGGAUCGUAAAAAUGUGUUAUUAGGGAAGAACAUAUGUGUAAGUAACUAUACAGGUCUUGACGGUACCUAAACAGAAAGCCACGGCUAACUACGUG
This 497-nucleotide ribosomal RNA is filed under the name uncultured bacterium. Its description in RNAcentral is "partial 16S ribosomal RNA". It matches the Rfam family "Bacterial small subunit ribosomal RNA", at positions 28 to 507 of the family's 1533-position model. The record is from RNAcentral.